Molecule: ribosomal RNA, 301 nt
Filed under: uncultured bacterium
Lineage: Bacteria
Description: partial 16S ribosomal RNA
Rfam family: Bacterial small subunit ribosomal RNA
Source: RNAcentral
CGUAGCCGCGGUAAUACGUAGGGUGCGAGCGUUAAUCGGAAUUACUGGGCGUAAAGCGUGCGCAGGCGGUUCGUUAAGACAGAUGUGAAAUCCCCGGGCUUAACCUGGGAACUGCAUUUGUGACUGACGGGCUAGAGUAUGGCAGAGGGGGGUAGAAUUCCACGUGUAGCAGUGAAAUGCGUAGAGAUGUGGAGGAAUACCGAUGGCGAAGGCAGCCCCCUGGGCCAAUACUGACGCUCAUGCACGAAAGCGUGGGGAGCAAACAGGAUUAGAUACCCCAGUAGUCCCUGUCUCUUAUACA